Molecule: ribosomal RNA, 267 nt
Filed under: uncultured bacterium
Lineage: Bacteria
Description: partial small subunit ribosomal RNA
Rfam family: Bacterial small subunit ribosomal RNA
Source: RNAcentral
AGAAUCAACGCUGGCGGCGUGCCUCAGACAUGCAAGUCGUACGAUUAAAGCUCUCUUCGGAGAGUGCAUAAAGUGGCGUACGGGUGAGUAACACGUAAGUAAUCUACCUUUGAGUGGGGAAUAACAGUCGGAAACGACUGCUAAUACCGCAUAAUGCAGCGGCUCGACAUCGAGACAGUUGUUAAAAGAAUUUUAUUCGCUUAAAGAGGAGCUUGCGGCAGAUUAGCUAGUUGGUAAGGUAAUGGCUUACCAAGGCAACGAUCUGUA